RNAcentral lists this long non-coding RNA (363 nucleotides) under Serinus canaria (Common canary). RNAcentral's name for it is "lncRNA (ENSSCAG00000005550.1)". Lineage: Eukaryota; Metazoa; Chordata; Aves; Passeriformes; Fringillidae. The record is from RNAcentral.
GAACUGCCUAUCAAAAGUGACUUCUUCAUUAUGGGUGUCACCUAAGGACAUUCUGUACGGACUGGAGCUUCCUGUUGUACAUAUGAAAAAUUUUCCCAAAGAAGUCUGAUGUUUGUAAGAAGAGAUCAUUCCAAAAGUGCACAGGAUCUUGGGGUCAGGAAUAGCACUUCAGAUUGAAGAAAUUGUUGGAACCAACGCAUUCUAAUCUGCUCGAAAAGGACCCACGUUUGUUUCAGGAGUGAUUUUACUUGGACAUCAGUGAUUAACAGAAACUCCAGAUCACUUCAGAAAAAUGCAGUCUCACAAGGAAGAACCUGCAACAUCUCAGAGAUCACAGUCUUAAAAAGGAUCCAAACCCAGUGA